AUUGAACGCUAGCGGGAUGCUUUACACAUGCAAGUCGAACGAGUGGCGGACGGGUGAGUAAUAUAUCGGAACGUGCCCAGUAGCGGGGGAUAACUACUCGAAAGAGUGGCUAAUACUGCAUACUAUUGGAUCGGCCGAUAUCGGAUUAGCUAGCUGGUGGGGUAAAGGCUCACCAAGGCAACGAUCCGUAGCUGGUUUGAGAGGACGACCGACCACACUGGAACUGAGACACGGCCCAAACUCCUACGGGAGGAAGCAGUGGAGAAUUUUUGACAAUGGGGGAAACCCUGAUCCAGACAUCCCGCGUGUAUGAGAAGGCCUUCGGGUUGUAAAAUACUUUUGGCAGAGAAGCGGUAUCUGCAGAAUAAGCACCGACUAACUACGUGCCAGCAGCCGCGGUAAUAC
RNAcentral lists this ribosomal RNA (405 nucleotides) under uncultured bacterium. Its description in RNAcentral is "partial 16S ribosomal RNA". It matches the Rfam family "Bacterial small subunit ribosomal RNA", at positions 30 to 526 of the family's 1533-position model. The record is from RNAcentral.